GACGAACGCUGGCGGCGUGCCUAAUACAUGCAAGUCGAACGGAAAGGCCCGGCGCUUGCGGCGCGCUCGUGUGGCGAACGCGUGUGAAUCACGCGUGUAUACCCUCCCUGACAGUGGGAUAUCUCUAGGAAACACGGGAGCUAAUCCCGUAUGAGCUUCUGCUGCACGUGGGGGGUUGGAAAGAUUCGGCGGUUCGGGAUGGACUCGCGGCCUAUCAGCUUGUUGGGCGGGUAGUGACUUACCAAGGCUUUGACGGGUAGCCGGCCUGGGAGGGUGACCGGCCACAUUGGGACUGAGGUAGGGCCCAGACUGCUACGGGAGGCAGCGGUGGAAAAUAUUGCGCAAUGGGCCGAAGCCUGAUACAACGGCGCCGCGUGCGGAAUGACGGCUUUCGGGGUAUAAACCGCUUUCGACUGUAAAGAAGCGUGAGUGACGGUAAUUGAUAAGAAAGCAACGGCUAACUACGUG
Molecule: ribosomal RNA, 468 nt
Filed under: uncultured bacterium
Lineage: Bacteria
Description: partial 16S ribosomal RNA
Rfam family: Bacterial small subunit ribosomal RNA
Source: RNAcentral